RNAcentral lists this ribosomal RNA (398 nucleotides) under Salmonella enterica subsp. enterica serovar Kentucky. RNAcentral describes it as "partial 23S ribosomal RNA". It matches the Rfam family "Bacterial large subunit ribosomal RNA", at positions 395 to 793 of the family's 2925-position model. Lineage: Bacteria; Pseudomonadati; Pseudomonadota; Gammaproteobacteria; Enterobacterales; Enterobacteriaceae. The record is from RNAcentral.
UGCUGUGAGCUCGAUGAGUAGGGCGGGACACGUGGUAUCCUGUCUGAAUAUGGGGGGACCAUCCUCCAAGGCUAAAUACUCCUGACUGACCGAUAGUGAACCAGUACCGUGAGGGAAAGGCGAAAAGAACCCCGGCGAGGGGAGUGAAAAAGAACCUGAAACCGUGUACGUACAAGCAGUGGGAGCACAGGUUUACCUGUGUGACUGCGUACCUUUUGUAUAAUGGGUCAGCGACUUAUAUUCUGUAGCAAGGUUAACCGAAUAGGGGAGCCGUAGGGAAACCGAGUCUUAACCGGGCGUUAAGUUGCAGGGUAUAGACCCGAAACCCGGUGAUCUAGCCAUGGGCAGGUUGAAGGUUGGGUAACACUAACUGGAGGACCGAACCGACUAAUGUUGAA